Long non-coding RNA from Piliocolobus tephrosceles (Ugandan red Colobus), 1648 nucleotides. RefSeq lists it as uncharacterized. The transcript has 3 exons. The record is from RefSeq and is a predicted model, not a curated record. Lineage: Eukaryota; Metazoa; Chordata; Mammalia; Primates; Cercopithecidae.
AGGAGCUUCCGUCUUUCAAUAUAAGUUACUUAAACUUGCUAAGAAGACGUUACAAGUGUGUUAUAAAAGUGUCCCUUAGUUUGAUCCUGGAAAAAAAUCACCUUUCAUCCUAAAGCAGGCAUGCCAAAGAACAAUCUGUUUUGCUACAUGGGGUGCUCUUCCUACCUGCUGAAGUGGGGAACAAACGGCUCAAAUGCCCUGGAGAAUAUCCAGGGCCACUGGGCAUUCCAAGCGGCUCCUUUGCAAAGUGUAGUUUUGAGGAAUGGUAGUUGGCUUACUCUACACCUGUGGAAGCCCCCAAAACCAAAACCCGUUUUUUGUAGUGCACCAAAAAAAGAACUACUGGGCACUGGAACAUUAGAGAUGAGCAUUUAAGAGUUUUUUUUUUUUUUUUUCUUGGUGUUUUUAGGGUAAUUUUUUUUUCACAUGGAAACAAAUGAGAAUUUCAAAUAAUUUAUGGUGCGUUACUGCUUUAUGAUCUUUAGAAUAAAAUACAGUCACUAAAGGUUUUUGUUUUUGACUCCUGACUGGCCAGAAAGUGAUGCCUAUUAAAAACAGUCCAUGGAUAUGGGAAGUACCAACUCUCUCCAAUGACCUUGAAAACACGUAUCUGGAAUCACAGGGAGCCCAGCCCCUGAAGCAACCAGGGCCACCGUGUGGAAACCCCCUCACCAGGAACCGACGCGAAUGCCCUGGGCUUGUGUACAAGAGGGACCUAGCAAGUUACAGGGGAGACUGCGGCGAUCCCAGCAGUCACACAAAAGUGAUCCUGACAGAGCAAGCUACCUGCUCCAGGCCAUUCAAUACAUUUAUCAGCGUCGCUGUUCUGCCUUUCGCAUAAAGAGAGAAAUGAGAAAACCGUAGCACACAGAAAUGGAAGUGGUGGUGCCGUGACAGAGAUCCAGGUGGUCUAGCUCUACAGUCUCAACUCUUAACACCCCGCCAUAGUGCUUUUUGUGUAGCCUAGUAACAGUAAAGCACUUACUUGUAAGCAAGCGCUUGCUAUGUGCCAGGAGUCAUUCUAAAUGCUUUGCAUAUGUAACUCAUUUAAUCCCUGCAACAAUCCUGUAAGACAGGAACGAUCCCCAUUUAUGGAGGAGAAAACUAGAACACAGGGAAGUUAAAUGACUUGGCCAAAGUCACCAAGCCCGGAAAUGGAAGAGCUGACAUUUGAAUCCAGGUGAUGUGGCUCCAAGCCCACGUUAAAAACUACCUAACUCUCUAAGCUUAUUUGGUCGUUUGGCAGGACAUCAAAUUAAAUUUAUGACUAAAUUUUAAAAAGUUUCACAGUAGUUAAGCACGCAGGCACUGAGCAAAAGCAUGGAACCUUUAUUUCCCAGCUGUGUGACCUUGUACAAGUUACUUAACCUCUCUGUGUCUUGCUGGCGUCAACUGAAAAAUGAGGACAACUUUCAACCUGUGAAUUAAAUAUCAUUGAAUCAUAGAUAAUGUACUUGUACAAUUUUCAGAUGACAUAAAACUAGUACAGAGUAAAAUUAUACAAAUGAUGAUGGUAUGAAACACACAGGCCAAUAUCUGGCCCAGAGCAAUCACUUAAUAAACAUUAGCUAUUGCUUUUGUACUGUUAUUAUUAUAAUCACCUUUAUAAUCUCACUCUACCUGCAUAUGUAUAGCUAGCCCUUGGAAC